UAAAAAUAAAUAUCAAUUAAAAAUAAAUAUCAAUUAAAAAUAAAUAUCAAAUAAAAAUAAAUAUCAAAUAAAAAUAAAUAUCAAACAAAAAUAAAUAUUAAAUAAAAAUAAAUAUAAAAUAAAAAUUAAAAUAAAUAAAUAUCAAAUAAAAAUAAAUAUCAAAUAAAAAUAAAUAUCAAAUAAAAUAAAAAUAAAUAAAUAUCAAAUAAAUAUCAAAUAAAAAUAAAAAAUAAAAAUAAAAAAUCCCAUUUUGGGAUUCACAAACUCCAGGGGAGGGGAGGAAGAUCCAAAAUUCCCAAAGAAGAAAAAAAUUCCCAAAGGAAAAAAAAAAUUCCCAAAGAAUAAAAAAUUCCCAAAGGAAAAAAAAAAUUCCCAAAGAAUAAAAAAUUCCCAAAGAAAAAAAUUCCCAAAGAAAAAAAUUCCCCAAAGAAUAAAAAAUUCCCAAAAAAAUUCCCGAAGGAAAAAAUUCCCAAAGGAAAAAAUUCCCGAAGGUUUUCCGUGGACAAGGAUUUUAAAAAAAUAUCUUUGAAACCAUCUGAGCUUAAAAAUAGACGCGAGUGAAGCUUAAAAUCCCACCCGGAGACGCCGGGAGAGCUCCGGACGAGUCCCUGGAGCGGCUCCGGAGCUUCCCCCGCUUCUGGAUGGUUCUGGAAGCCUUGGGGUGGAUCCAGAGGGGUCCUGGGAGAAGUUCUGGAGGUUCUGGAGAAGUUCUGGAGGUUCUGGAGGCCGUGGGAUGGAUCCAGAGGGGUCCUGGCAGCGGUUCUGGAGGUUCCUGGUGGUUCUGGAGAAGUUCUGGAGGUUCUGGAGAAGUUCCG
RNAcentral lists this long non-coding RNA (815 nucleotides) under Parus major (Great Tit). RNAcentral describes it as "lncRNA (ENSPMJG00000002123.1)". Lineage: Eukaryota; Metazoa; Chordata; Aves; Passeriformes; Paridae. The record is from RNAcentral.